AAAAUGGAAAUACUCCGAGCUAAAUUGUCUUAAUGAGAGGACUUAGCCUAUGGGUGCAAUUUGUGAAGAUUGCGCCUCCCGGUUUGGAAAGGAGAACUAUAACUGUCCAA
RNAcentral lists this non-coding RNA (110 nucleotides) under Dethiosulfatibacter aminovorans. RNAcentral's name for it is "MoCo sequence". It matches the Rfam family "Molybdenum/Tungsten riboswitch aptamer (Moco RNA motif)". RNAcentral also lists the same sequence under 1 other name. Lineage: Bacteria; Bacillati; Bacillota; Tissierellia. The record is from RNAcentral.